GAAUAUUGCACAAUGAGCGAAAGCUUGAUGCAGCGACGCCGCGUGAGGGAUGACGGCUUUCGGGUUGUAAACCUCUUUCGGCAGGGAACAAGUCCAGGUUUUGGCCUGGUUGAGGGUACCUGCAUACGAAGCGCCGGCUAACUACGUGCCAGCAGCCGCGGUAAUACGUAGGGCGCGAGCGUUGUCCGGAAUUAUUGGGCGUAAAGAGCUCGUAGGCGGCUUGUCGCGUCUGCUGUGAAAACGCGGGGCUUAACCCCGCGCUUGCAGUGGGUGCGGGCAGGCUUGAGUGUAGUAGGGGAGACUGGAAUUCCUGGUGUAGCGGUGGAAUGCGCAGAUAUCAGGAGGAACACCGAUGGCGAAGGCAGGUCUCUGGGCUAUAACUGACGCUGAGGAGCGAAAGCAUGGGGAGCGAACA
Molecule: ribosomal RNA, 415 nt
Filed under: uncultured bacterium
Lineage: Bacteria
Description: partial 16S ribosomal RNA
Rfam family: Bacterial small subunit ribosomal RNA
Source: RNAcentral